GUCGAGGGGCAGCAUGAUUGAAGCUUGCUUCAAUUGAUGGCGACCGGCGCACGGGUGAGUAACACGUAUCCAACCUUCCGCUGACUCGGGGAUAGCCUUUCGAAAGAAAGAUUAAUACCCGAUGGCAAAGGACUUCCGCAUGGAUAUCCUUUUAAAGGAUUCCGGUCAGCGAUGGGGAUGCGUUCCAUUAGAUAGUUGGCGGGGUAACGGCCCACCAAGUCGACGAUGGAUAGGGGUUCUGAGAGGAAGGUCCCCCACAUUGGAACUGAGACACGGUCCAAACUCCUACGGGAGGCAGCAGUGAGGAAUAUUGGUCAAUGGGCGAGAGCCUGAACCAGCCAAGUAGCGUGAAGGAAGACUGCCCUAUGGGUUGUAAACUUCUUUUAUACGGGAAUAAAGUCAUCCACGUGUGGAUGUUUGUAUGUACCGUAUGAAUAAGGAUCGGCUAACUCCGUGCCAGCAGCCGCGGUAAUACGGAGGAUCCGAGCGUUAUCCGGAUUUAUUGGGUUUAAAGGGAGCGUAGGCGGGCUUUUAAGUCAGUUGUGAAAGUUUGCGGCUCAACCGUAAAAUUGCAGUUGAUACUGGAAGCCUUGAGUACAGUAUAGGCAGGCGGAAUUCGUGGUGUAGCGGUGAAAUGCUUAGAUAUCACGAAGAACUCCGAUUGCGAAGGCAGCUUGCUGGACUGUAACUGACGCUGAUGCUCGAAAGUGUGGGUAUCAAACAGGAUUAGAUACCCUGGUAGUCCACACAGUAAACGAUGGACACUCGCUGUUGGCGAUAUACGGUCAGCGGCUUAGCGAAAGCGUUAAGUGUCCCACCUGGGGAGUACGCCGGCAACGGUGAAACUCAAAGGAAUUGACGGGGGCCCGCACAAGCGGAGGAACAUGUGGUUUAAUUCGAUGAUACGCGAGGAACCUUACCCGGGCUUGAA
RNAcentral lists this ribosomal RNA (931 nucleotides) under uncultured Bacteroidaceae bacterium. RNAcentral describes it as "bacterial SSU rRNA". It matches the Rfam family "Bacterial small subunit ribosomal RNA", at positions 61 to 985 of the family's 1533-position model. The record is from RNAcentral. Lineage: Bacteria; Pseudomonadati; Bacteroidota; Bacteroidia; Bacteroidales; Bacteroidaceae.